RNAcentral lists this unclassified non-coding RNA (380 nucleotides) under uncultured bacterium. Its description in RNAcentral is "contains 16S-23S intergenic spacer region". The record is from RNAcentral.
UCCGCUUUACAGCGGCAGUUUGUCUCGAGUCCCCGCCAUGGUAAAACCACGCGCUGGUAACAAGACAUGAGGGUUGCGCUCGUUGCGGGACUUAACCCAACAUUUCACAACACGAGCUGACGACAGCCAUGCACCACCUGUGUAGCACCCUCGAAGGCGGCUCGCUUUCACGAGCUUGCAGCUACAUGUCAAGCCCUGGUAAGGUUCUUCGCGUUGCAUCGAAUUAAGCCACAUGCUCCACCGCUUGUGCGGGCCCCCGCCAAUUCCUUUGAGUUUCAACCUUGCGGCCGUAGUCCCCAGGCGGCUCACUUAAUGCGUUAGCUGCGGCACCGAGGUAUAAACCCCGACACCUAGUGAGCAUCGUUUAAGGCCAAGACUAC